RNAcentral lists this ribosomal RNA (250 nucleotides) under uncultured bacterium. Its description in RNAcentral is "partial 16S ribosomal RNA". It matches the Rfam family "Bacterial small subunit ribosomal RNA", at positions 524 to 773 of the family's 1533-position model. The record is from RNAcentral.
UACGAAGGGUGCAAGCGUUACUCGGAAUUACUGGGCGUAAAGCGUGCGUAGGUGGUCUCUUAAGUCCGUUGUGAAAGCCCCGGGCUCAACCUGGGAAUGGCAGUGGAUACUGGGAGGCUAGAGUGCGGUAGAGGGUAGUGGAAUUCCCGGUGUAGCGGUGAAAUGCGUAGAGAUCGGGAGGAACACCAGUGGCGAAGGCGGCUACCUGGACCAGCACUGACACUGAGGCACGAAAGCGUGGGGAGCAAAC